This 841-nucleotide ribosomal RNA is filed under the name Elongisporangium helicandrum. RNAcentral's name for it is "eukaryotic LSU rRNA". The stretch from base 180 to 334 matches the Rfam family "5.8S ribosomal RNA". The record is from RNAcentral. Lineage: Eukaryota; Oomycota; Peronosporomycetes; Pythiales; Pythiaceae.
GACCUGCGGAAGGAUCAUACACACCAAAAACUUUCACGUGACUGUCUAGCAUGUUUUGUGCCUUUCAUUAGGCUAAACGAAGGUCGGAGUAAAAUCUGGCUGAUCUAUCUUUUUAAACCCCUUACUUAAUGACUGAUUUAUACUGUGAGGACGAAAGUCUUUGCUUUUAACUAGAUAACAACUUUCAGCAGUGGAUGUCUAGGCUCGCACAUCGAUGAAGAACGCUGCGAACUGCGAUACGUAAUGCGAAUUGCAGAAUUCAGUGAGUCAUCGAAAUUUUGAACGCAUAUUGCACUUUCGGGUUAUACCUGGAAGUAUGUCUGUAUCAGUGUCCGUACAAUAAACUUGCCUUUCUUUUUCUGUGUAGUCAGUGAUAGAGAUGGCCGAUGUGAAGUGUCUCGAUCUGUGCAUGUAUGCCACAUUGAUCGAGUCCUUUUAAAUGUACACUGUUUUUUUCUCUUGUUUCUAUGAGGUACUGCUCGAACGGAGUGAUCUUUGGAUUGCUUGCAUGUUUGGUGGCAACUUCGGUUUAGACGCUAGGAGUAAAUGCUCGAUUCGCGGUAUGUUAGGCUUCGGCUGGACAAUGUUGCUUAUUAGGCGUUGACUCUGUUUUUACCUUGAGGUACCAUUAUUUGUGUGAGAUGUGUCUAUUGAUUGCUUGCAAGUAAGGUGUUGCUUGAUAGUAACGCUUCGAUGCUGCUUUUCGGAGUGGUGUUGAGGUUGAGGAUAGCACAAUUUGGGAAAAUUUUGUACACUGUUAUUUGUUAGCUGUGUAUCUCAAUUGGACCUGAUAUCAGACAGACUACCCGCUGACUUAGCAUAUCAAUAGCGAGAAAAGAAA